Molecule: ribosomal RNA, 851 nt
Filed under: Ascomycota sp. BR329
Lineage: Eukaryota; Fungi; Ascomycota
Description: eukaryotic LSU rRNA
Rfam family: Eukaryotic large subunit ribosomal RNA
Source: RNAcentral
AACAUGAGAGACACAGGGAUUGCCUANUACGGCGAGUGAAGCGGCAACAGCUCAAAUUUGAAAUCUGGCGUCUUUGGCGUCCGAGUUGUAAUUUGCAGAGGGCGCUUUGGCAUUGGCAGCGGUCCAAGUUCCUUGGAACAGGACGUCACAGAGGGUGAGAAUCCCGUACGUGGUCGCUAGCCUUUACCGUGUAAAGCCCCUUCGACGAGUCGAGUUGUUUGGGAAUGCAGCUCUAAAUGGGAGGUAAAUUUCUUCUAAAGCUAAAUACUGGCCAGAGACCGAUAGCGCACAAGUAGAGUGAUCGAAAGAUGAAAAGCACUUUGGAAAGAGAGUUAAAAAGCACGUGAAAUUGUUGAAAGGGAAGCGCUUGCAGCCAGACUUGCCUGUAGUUGCUCAUCCGGGUUUCUACCCGGUGCACUCUUCUACGGGCAGGCCAGCAUCAGUUUGGGCGGUUGGAUAAAGGUCUCUGUCAUGUACCUCCUCUCGGGGAGAACUUAUAGGGGAGACGACAUGCAACCAGCCCGGACUGAGGUCCGCGCAUCUGCUAGGAUGCUGGCGUAAUGGCUGUAAGCGGCCCGUCUUGAAACACGGACCAAGGAGUCUAACAUCUAUGCGAGUGUUUGGGUGUCAAGCCCGAGCGCGUAAUGAAAGUGAACGGAGGUGGGAACCUUUCGGGGUGCACCAUCGACCGAUCCUGAUGUCUUCGGAUGGAUUUGAGUAAGAGCAUAGCUGUUGGGACCCGAAAGAUGGUGAACUAUGCUUGAAUAGGGUGAAGCCAGAGGAAACUCUGGUGGAGGCUCGCAGCGGUUCUGACNGUGCAAUCGAUCGUCAAAUUUGGGCAUAGGGGCGAA